GGAGAAAUACCCAAGUCCGGCUGAAGGGACUGGUCUUGAAAACCAGCAGGGCGUUUGCGCGCCGCGGGGGUUCGAAUCCCUCUUUCUCCGCCA
This 93-nucleotide transfer RNA is filed under the name Mycoplasmatota bacterium. RNAcentral describes it as "Tenericutes bacterium tRNA-Ser". It matches the Rfam family "tRNA". Rfam says of the family: Transfer RNA (tRNA) molecules are approximately 80 nucleotides in length. Their secondary structure includes four short double-helical elements and three loops (D, anti-codon, and T loops). Further hydrogen bonds mediate the characteristic L-shaped molecular structure. tRNAs have two regions of fundamental functional importance: the anti-codon, which is responsible for specific mRNA codon recognition, and the 3' end, to which the tRNAs corresponding amino acid is attached (by aminoacyl-tRNA synthetases). tRNAs cope with the degeneracy of the genetic code in two manners: having more than one tRNA (with a specific anti-codon) for a particular amino acid; and 'wobble' base-pairing, i.e. permitting non-standard base-pairing at the 3rd anti-codon position. Lineage: Bacteria; Bacillati; Mycoplasmatota. RNAcentral also lists the same sequence under 1 other name. The record is from RNAcentral.